Molecule: ribosomal RNA, 498 nt
Filed under: uncultured bacterium
Lineage: Bacteria
Description: partial 16S ribosomal RNA
Rfam family: Bacterial small subunit ribosomal RNA
Source: RNAcentral
AUCGAACGCUGGCGGAAUGCUUUACACAUGCAAGUCGAGCGGCAGCGCGGGGCAACCUGGCGGCGAGCGGCGAACGGGUGAGUAAUACAUCGGAACGUACCCUGUUGUGGGGGAUAACGAAUCGAAAGAUUCGCUAAUACCGCAUACGACCUGAGGGUGAAAGUGGGGGAUCGCAAGACCUCACGCGAUAGGAGCGGCCGAUGUCGGAUUAGCGAGUUGGUGGGGUAAAGGCUAACCAAGGCGACGAUCCGGAGCGGGUGUGGGAGGACGGCCCGCGACACUGGAACUGAGACACGGUCCAGACUCCUACGGGAGGCAGCGGUGGGGAAUGUUGGACAAUGGGGGCAACCCUGAUCCAGCCAUUCCGCGUGAGUGAAGAAGGCCUUCGGGUUGUAAAGCUCUUUCGGCAGGAACGAAACGGUCCUAGUUAAUACCUGGGGCUAAUGACGGUACCUGAAGAAGAAGCACCGGCUAACUACGUGCCAGCCGCCGCCGUAA